This 1356-nucleotide long non-coding RNA is filed under the name Sus scrofa (pig). Its description in RNAcentral is "lncRNA (ENSSSCG00015036671.1)". The record is from RNAcentral. Lineage: Eukaryota; Metazoa; Chordata; Mammalia; Artiodactyla; Suidae.
GGAUUUAUCAUCCAACAUGAUGCCAGCCUAGAGGCUCCGUGGGCCAGAAUGCAAGCAUAAAAUAAAAUAAAUACCUUUGGAUAAAGGAGAUGGCAAAGCAUCUCUCUCUAACCGAGGUCUCUGCCAAGGACACCCUGGCAGCCAGACAUGGCAAAAUGGAGUUUUUAAAGAUUAAUGUUUAAAGUGCAAGACAAAUUCCGUGACACCAAGUCUUCUCGUAAUUUUCAUUCUGUUGUUUUCCCACAGAAUAAACAAGUCAAUUGACAAGCCAAUGAGCUGUUGGAAAAUUUCGGCUGAUGCCAUCCAUCAGGUUACAGUUGGCCACAGGAAGACAUUCUAGGGACACUGGCCACAUGGAAUGUUCCUUCUCCAGAUUAAAUGCCGUUCCACCGAACGAACUGCUCUCGGCUGAAGUGGGGAAGCGUGAUUUGAUUAGUAUAGAUUCUGGAAUCGGGUCCCAGGACGGCCCUGGCUCUGGGUCUGGCCCCAUGCUGGGCGCUCAACAGAGAGAGUGGCUGGAUUCUCUGCAGCCCUGUGAGGAAUGCUCAGUCAUCAUCCCCCCAUUUUACAGAUGAGGAAACAGAGGAUCACUGAGGGACACUGAGGAUUACGCCAAGGCUCACGGUUGGUAAGUGGCCUCAUAGAGGUUAACACUUACUCCUCAGCUGUGAACGGCAUGUGAGCUGCUCAAGCACAGACUGUCUAAAGCUUACUCCUGAAGCAACUCUUCUGCCUGAAGAAGUUCUUCGAGGGGCAUCCUCAGUCCCUCUCAAACUCACAUUUAAAACCCGGGGUGUCCUCUGUGACUUUCCUUUUCUUUCUUUCUUUCUUUUUUGGUCUUUAAGGGCCACACCAGCAGCACAUGGAGGUUCCCAGGCUAGGGGUUAAAUCGGAACAGUAGCUGCCAGCCUAUACCACAGUCAUGGCCACUCCAGAUCUGAGCCACGUCUGCGAUCUACACCACAGCUUACGGCAACACUGGAUCCUUAACCCACUGAGUGAGGCCCAGGAUCGAACUUGUGUCCUCGUGGAUCCUAGUCAAAUUCUUUUCUGCUGCACCGUGACGGGAACUCCUUUGUGACUUUGCUUGUCUUUUUUUUGAUCACCAGUCUCCAUCCCAUUUCCACGGUGCCCAGUCUGCUGACUGGUACCCUGCCUAGUUCAUAUCAGAUUUCCAGGACCUGGGACAGUAGCUGGUUCACAGUAGGUAAAAUAUAAAUAACAUAGUAGUUAUCACUUUAACCAUUUAGAAGUGUACAGUUCCGUGGCAUUAAACAUAGUAACACCCUAUGCAACCAUCACCAUAUCUACACCCAAAACUUAUCAUCUCCAAUAAAAACUGUGCCCAUGAAACCA